AUACGUAGGGGACGAGCGUUGUCCGGAAUUACUGGGCGUAAAGGGCGCGCAGGCGGAUAUUUAAGUCAGCUGUAAAAGGCAUGAGCUCAACUCAUGUAUGCGGUUGAAACUGGGUAUCUAGAGUGCUGGAGAGGUAGGCGGAAUUCCCGGGGGAGCGGUGGAAUGCGUAGAUAUUAGGAGGAAUACCAGUGGCGAAGGCGACUCUCUGGACUGAUACUGACGCUGAGGCACGAAAGCGUGGGGAGCAAACAGGAUUAGAUACCCUGGUAGUCCACGCUAUAAACGAUGAGUGCUAGGUGUCGGGGGUCAAACCUCGGUGCCGCAGUUAACACAAUAAGUAUUCCGCCUGGGGAGUACGGCCGCAAGGUUGAAACUCAAAUGAAUUGGCGGGG
This 392-nucleotide ribosomal RNA is filed under the name uncultured bacterium. Its description in RNAcentral is "partial 16S ribosomal RNA". It matches the Rfam family "Bacterial small subunit ribosomal RNA", at positions 523 to 918 of the family's 1533-position model. The record is from RNAcentral.